CGUUGUCAAAUACAUUUAAUCAGUUUAUUAAAUGGUCUUUAAAAAUGCUUUGUGCUUUGAUAAAUUUGGGUACAGCAGGCUCAGGAGGCAGUUUGCUCCCAUGUAAUUCAAGAAAAUGUACAAUCCUUCAACAUCCAGUUCUCAGCUGACUGCUCCCACACAUUUAUUGCCUCUGGCUCUUCCCCAAUUUGUAGGACUGUGGGUGUGUACUUUGGGAAACUCCAUGAAGAAGGACUGGAAGGUGAAAAGUGUUAUACAGAUAAGUGAUCUGCUUGGAGCUUUUUGGCCUUCCCUCCUGGCCUUGGUCUUCUCAGUCACCUGCAAAGCAGGUCCCUGGAUCUCUUCGGGAAUAAGAGACUCCAAAAAUCUGCCUCAGACCAAUAGUCUGAGAUUGGUGACCUAUGUGCUCUCUAGCAGCACAUUUAUGGGUGGCCUUUGCUGCUCACCUUUUAAAUGCCUGGAAAGGUUCUAACAUAGAGAGAAGGGGGUAGAUGCAAUAUUAUAAAGCCAAUACUUCCUAUCAUUUAUUGAGCAACUGCUAAAUGUUAGGCUAUGCUGAGUACUUGGUAUUUUCUCUAUUUCUCAUGGCAACCUUGUGAGAGAGUCAUUAUCUCUCAUUUUACAGACCAGCCAAAGGAUCUCAGAGAAACACCUGCUCAGGACUACUCAACAAGUAUAUGGUGGAGCCACCUGCCAACCUGCUACCUUAAACUGUCAUUCAAACUAUCUACAUAUCAACUGUCAUCUGCUCUAUAUUGUUGGGGCUUAAGGUCACUGCACAUCUUUUGCAUUCGUUAGAUAGGUCUGGAAACUUGAAUCUCUGGAAUAUGCAAAAUGCCCCCUUCACCACCAAGAAAGGACCAUCCUGGUCCCUGAUCCCCGGGGGCA
RNAcentral lists this long non-coding RNA (888 nucleotides) under Homo sapiens (human). Its description in RNAcentral is "HSALNT0097616". Lineage: Eukaryota; Metazoa; Chordata; Mammalia; Primates; Hominidae. The record is from RNAcentral.